Long non-coding RNA from Pteropus alecto (black flying fox), 1846 nucleotides. RefSeq lists it as uncharacterized. The record is from RefSeq and is a predicted model, not a curated record. NCBI's taxonomy places the organism in Eukaryota, Metazoa, Chordata, Mammalia, Chiroptera, Pteropodidae. The transcript is spliced from 2 exons.
UGCUUGCCUUCUCUGCUCCUGCUCACGGGGCUGCUGGAGUCACAGAACUGGGCCGGCGUCCCAUGCUCCUUUUUGUCCACCACCCACCCCUCUGCCUUCCAGAAGUUCCUCUGACAUUCAGUUUCUUCCUCCAAGGGACAGGCCACCCUGCUGCAGAAAUCAGUGCAUCUGCCACCCCUCUGUGAUUCUGUAAAUUUUCCCGGCCCCUGGACUCUGCCGUGAGCCAGCCUUUCCUGCUCUGGCCCAUUUCUGCUGCCCUGCAGCAGCCAGGACACGUCAGGUAGGUGGGCGAGAGGAAGGAUCACAGCGUGGGGGCGAGGAUGCCCGACCCCCCUCUGGUACCCGAACAAAAUAUUUCUCCCACAUUCAUUAUUACUCUUCUGUCAAAAUCUAAGUCUACAUUAAAAUGUCACAUUUCUCCUUAUCAGCUCCGGUUCUUAUGCAGUCAUCCAACAGAUUCUUUUCCAAUGUCACAGAUUAAAUAAGAUCAAUUACAUAGAGCAUUUUACAUGGUGCUUGGCCAUUGAUAUAACACUUAAUACACAGCAGCUGUCAUGAUUAGCUAUUAAUAUUCCUGAUUUACCAGUGAGUACUCUGUUCCACAUCUGACGAGGUUCAAAGGAGAACUAAUUACCUAGUAAUUGGACAUAUUAAAAACAGUGUCUCUAGAAAGUGAUACCCUUUUAAGAUGACAAGAACCAGUGCUUGUUAGGAGCAGUAGACUAUUUUGAGCAGAGCUAAAACAUAAGCAUCUGCUCUCCAUUAUUAAUGAAAGUUGUGCUUUUUGAGUUUUUUAUUAAGGACCCUCCCCUGAGCAGGCUGUGCUGUAAAUAUGUGUAUAAAUAAGGAACGUGCUACCGAGCUCAGAGAUGCUGCUUCUGUGGGAACACGCCAAGUCAGAAGCCACGAGGCAGCGUCGCCCCAAACUGCCAGGCCAGAAUUUUGAUCGAGUGCCAGCUUCCCUCUGUCCCUCACGCUUGCUGCUUUCCCUAGAUGCUCCGUCCAGCACCAGAUUGCCUGUGGCCUCUCAUGCCACGCUCCUAAUGGAGGUCAGAUGUAAGACGCCUGGGCGUUCGCCCUGAAGGAACCGUUUAAUUGGAAGCCCAACAGGCCACAGUAUGGUGGUGCGGGAGGAAAGGGUUCCAAGUCGCCUGCGUGGGUUUGUCACCCUUCCCUGGCAGUGUCACCUGGCACCUAUGACCUCUUUCUGAGCCUGUUUCCUCAUCUGUACAAUAAGAAUAAUCCCUCACAUUUGUAUUGUCUUUUAAUGGUAGAACGAGAAAAAACAUUUCAUGAAAUGGUACCCAGACGUUACGCCUGAGGCUUCUGAGUGAUGACGACGAUGGUGAUGGUCGUGACGGGCUGCUUCAUCGUGGGCUGGGCUGGGCCACCUAAGAGGAUGCUUUGGCCCCUGGGGCCAGGAAAUAUUGCAGUUAUAAGAGGAAGAAAGACACGAAAGGUGUUUGGGCAUCGGUCUCCCCAUGGCCUGCACUGCGUUCCCUCCAAACGCAUAUGUUGAAGCCCCAGCCCUCAGUGUGACAGCGUUUGGAGGUGGGGCCCUCACGAUGGGAUCGGUGCCCUUACAAAGAGACGCGGGAGAGCUUGCCGAGUGAGGACUCAGUGAGGAGGAGUCUGUGACCCAGCCCCCAGAACUGCGCGGAAGGACAGCUGUGUGUUUACACCUCCCGGUCUAUCGUAUUUUGUUAUUGGCAGCCUGAGUUGGCCAAGACAGUUUCUAUUUCAAAACUUACGGAAUGUUCAUAAACCUUUGUAAGUAGGCAUUUCUGUUAUAGUUGUGUUCUGUUCUAAACCUUUUAAAAUAUAUUUUACUUGUAAGUAAUCGAAA